Non-coding RNA from Phrynosoma platyrhinos (Desert horned lizard), 71 nucleotides. The record is from the annotation of a GenBank genome assembly. NCBI's taxonomy places the organism in Eukaryota, Metazoa, Chordata, Lepidosauria, Squamata, Phrynosomatidae.
GCCAGUGCGGCGUAGUGGUUUAUGCGUUGGACUAGGACUCCGAGACCUGGGUUCGAAUCCCGCCUCAACCA